Molecule: ribosomal RNA, 514 nt
Filed under: uncultured bacterium
Lineage: Bacteria
Description: bacterial SSU rRNA
Rfam family: Bacterial small subunit ribosomal RNA
Source: RNAcentral
GACGAACGCUGGCGGCGUGCCUAAUACAUGCAAGUCGAGCGGACCAAAGGGAGCUUGCUCCUGGAGGUUAGCGGCGAACGGGUGAGUAACACGUGGGCAACCUGCCUGUAAGACUGGGAUAACAUCGAGAAAUCGGUGCUAAUACCGGAUAAUAAAAAGAACUGCAUGGUUCUUUUUUGAAAGAUGGUUUCGGCUAUCACUUACAGAUGGGCCCGCGGCGCAUUAGCUAGUUGGUGAGGUAACGGCUCACCAAGGCAACGAUGCGUAGCCGACCUGAGAGGGUGAUUGGCCACACUGGGACUGAGACACGGCCCAGACUCCUACGGGAGGCCAGCAGUAGGGAAUCUUCCGCAAUGGACGAAAGUCUGACGGAGCAACGCCGCGUGAGUGAUGAAGGUUUUCGGAUCGUAAAACUCUGUUGUUAGGGAAGAACAAGUGCCGUUCGAAAGGGCGGCACCUUGACGGUACCUAACGAGAAAGCCACGGCUAACACGUGCCAGCAGCCGCGGUAAAG